GCUGUGACCUGCAGUUUCCCCUGCUUCAUUUGCUCAACCCCACUGUGAUCCGACAGGCCUGGAACUAUUUCACCGCUGCUCACUUCACCGGUAGAAGCCCCAUAGGAGGGACACCACACUCUCCACCAGCCCUGCUGGACUCCAUGGGGCCGCGCAGACAACCAGAAUGAAGACCAAAAAAAGCUGUGAUGAAGGUAAAAACAGAAGUGGAGAAGGAAAGGGAUAAAAGGCAAGCAGCUGAACUACAGAGUUAACCAACUCAGUCACUGUGUGCUAUUUGCAUGGACUGUUCGCUUCCCAGCACUACAGAUUGGAUGAAUGGCUGCCAAUGGAACUUCCGUGUGAAUCAAAGUUGAGUCCUCUGACUAUUGACAAACGUGUAGUAGACCUUGGGUGUUAGUGCACAUUUUGCUUUAACCAUGUCUCCUCAAAGUCCAGAUACUGCUUCUUAUUUGCAAGGCAGGACUAGAAGAGCACUAUUUUCAGCAGAGAAAUGGUGGAUGUUAAGGCCCUUAACCUUUACCUCAUGCACAUCUUCCCCCCCCUCCAAAUUUUCACUAGUGUAGCUUUUUCUCCAGCAUAGGUUCUCUGCCACAUUCAGGCACCAUGAAUUAGCUAUCCAUUGUCCCUUAAGUGCAAGGACAAUGCUUAAGGCUUCCCCACUCCCUCCUCUACCAGGAGAAACCCUGCAGGCCUGUGUUUAGAGCUCUAUCAGAUUGCUGAAUGUAAUCUUAUUAAUAAGCCUGUAACACUAACAUUAAAGGUAAAGUUGUGCUGUCAA
Molecule: long non-coding RNA, 781 nt
Organism: Hemicordylus capensis (graceful crag lizard)
Lineage: Eukaryota; Metazoa; Chordata; Lepidosauria; Squamata; Cordylidae
Exons: 2
Source: RefSeq, a predicted model, not a curated record